This 69-nucleotide transfer RNA is filed under the name Marmota marmota marmota (Alpine marmot). It matches the Rfam family "tRNA". From Rfam's summary of the family: Transfer RNA (tRNA) molecules are approximately 80 nucleotides in length. Their secondary structure includes four short double-helical elements and three loops (D, anti-codon, and T loops). Further hydrogen bonds mediate the characteristic L-shaped molecular structure. tRNAs have two regions of fundamental functional importance: the anti-codon, which is responsible for specific mRNA codon recognition, and the 3' end, to which the tRNAs corresponding amino acid is attached (by aminoacyl-tRNA synthetases). tRNAs cope with the degeneracy of the genetic code in two manners: having more than one tRNA (with a specific anti-codon) for a particular amino acid; and 'wobble' base-pairing, i.e. permitting non-standard base-pairing at the 3rd anti-codon position. RNAcentral also lists the same sequence under 3 other names. The record is from Rfam by way of RNAcentral. Lineage: Eukaryota; Metazoa; Chordata; Mammalia; Rodentia; Sciuridae.
GAGGUUGUGGCUCAGUGGUAGAGCACUCACCUAGCAUGUGUGAGGCAUUGGGUUCAAUCCUCAGUAUCA